Molecule: ribosomal RNA, 492 nt
Filed under: uncultured bacterium
Lineage: Bacteria
Description: partial 16S ribosomal RNA
Rfam family: Bacterial small subunit ribosomal RNA
Source: RNAcentral
AGUGAACGCUGGCGGUAGGCCUAACACAUGCAAGUCGAACGGCAGCACAGUAAGAGCUUGCUCUUACGGGUGGCGAGUGGCGGACGGGUGAGGAAUACAUCGGAAUCUACUUUUUCGUGGGGGAUAACGUAGGGAAACUUACGCUAAUACCGCAUACGACCUACGGGUGAAAGCAGGGGAUCUUCGGACCUUGCGCGAUUGAAUGAGCCGAUGUCGGAUUAGCUAGUUGGCGGGGUAAAGGCCCACCAAGGCGACGAUCCGUAGCUGGUCUGAGAGGAUGAUCACCAACCGUGGAAAUGGACCAGGACCAACACCCUACGGGGGGGAGGCAGGGGGAAUUAUUGGACAAGGGGCGAAGGCCUAACCCACCCAUCCGGGGGGGGGAAAAAAGGCCUUGGGUUUGAAAACCCUUUUUUUGGGGAAAAAAAAGAAGCAGUUAAAUCCCCCCCUGUUCUGACGUUACCAAAAAAAAAAGCACCGGCUAACUCGGUC